Molecule: transfer RNA, 78 nt
Filed under: Candidatus Thorarchaeota archaeon
Lineage: Archaea; Promethearchaeati; Candidatus Thorarchaeota
Description: tRNA-Arg
Rfam family: tRNA
About the family: Transfer RNA (tRNA) molecules are approximately 80 nucleotides in length. Their secondary structure includes four short double-helical elements and three loops (D, anti-codon, and T loops). Further hydrogen bonds mediate the characteristic L-shaped molecular structure. tRNAs have two regions of fundamental functional importance: the anti-codon, which is responsible for specific mRNA codon recognition, and the 3' end, to which the tRNAs corresponding amino acid is attached (by aminoacyl-tRNA synthetases). tRNAs cope with the degeneracy of the genetic code in two manners: having more than one tRNA (with a specific anti-codon) for a particular amino acid; and 'wobble' base-pairing, i.e. permitting non-standard base-pairing at the 3rd anti-codon position.
Source: RNAcentral
GGGGCCGUAGUCUAGCCUGGAUAAGGCGCCAGCCUGCGGAGUUGGUAGUCCCCGGUUCGAAUCCGGGCGGUCCCGCCA